GACGAACGCUGGCGGCGUGCUUAACACAUGCAAGUCGAACGGAAAGGCCCUGCUUUUUUUGGGUGCUCGAGUGGCGAACGGGUGAGUAACACGUGAGUAACCUGCCCUUGACUUUGGGAUAACUUCAGGAAACUGGGGCUAAUACCGGAUAGGUGCUCCUGCUGCAUGGUUGGGGUUGGAAAGUUUCGGCGGUUGGGGAUGGACUCGCGGCUUAUCAGCUUGUUGGUGGGGUAGUGGCUUACCAAGGCUUUGACGGGUAGCCGGCCUGAGAGGGUGACCGGCCACAUUGGGACUGAGAUACGGACCAGAAUCCUACGGGAGGCAGCAGUGGGGAAUAUUGCACAAUGGGCGGAAGCCUGAUGAAGCAACGCCGCGUGCGGGAUGACGGCCUUCGGGUUGUAAACCGCUUUCGCCUGUGACGAAGCGUGAGUGACGGUAAUGGGUAAAGAAGCACCGGCUAACUACGUG
This 468-nucleotide ribosomal RNA is filed under the name uncultured bacterium. Its description in RNAcentral is "partial 16S ribosomal RNA". It matches the Rfam family "Bacterial small subunit ribosomal RNA", at positions 28 to 507 of the family's 1533-position model. The record is from RNAcentral.